This 482-nucleotide ribosomal RNA is filed under the name uncultured bacterium. Its description in RNAcentral is "partial 16S ribosomal RNA". It matches the Rfam family "Bacterial small subunit ribosomal RNA", at positions 30 to 507 of the family's 1533-position model. The record is from RNAcentral.
AUUGAACGCUGGCGGCAUGCCUUACACAUGCAAGUCGAACGGUAACGGGCCUUCGGGCGCCGACGAGUGGCGAACGGGUGAGUAAUACAUCGGAACGUGCCCGAUCGUGGGGGAUAACGAGGCGAAAGCUUUGCUAAUACCGCAUACGAUCUACGGAUGAAAGCAGGGGACCGCAAGGCCUUGCGCGGACGGAGCGGCCGAUGGCAGAUUAGGUAGUUGGUGGGAUAAAAGCUUACCAAGCCGACGAUCUGUAGCUGGUCUGAGAGGAUGAUCAGCCACACUGGGACUGAGACACGGCCCAGACUCCUGCGGGAGGCAGCAGUGGGGAAUUUUGGACAAUGGGCGCAAGCCUGAUCCAGCCAUGCCGCGUGCAGGAUGAAGGCCUUCGGGUUGUAAACUGCUUUUGUACGGAACGAAAAGCCUUCUUUUAAUACAGGAGGGUCAUGACGGUACCGUAAGAAUAAGCACCGGCUAACUACGUG